UGCAUUUAGCUCGUAGAAAUUUGUUCCCACAUUAGUAAAUAAUGUUAUUUUGCUCACAUGAACCUUCCUAGGAAAACAUAUUUGGUUUCCUCUUCUUUGAUACUCUUGUUUAAUUUUCCACUUCAAUUUUGGAUCUUUUUAUCUUUUCAAGUGAUUGGACAGAAAUCGAUCCAAGAUAAGUUCAGCAUAGAAACGCAAACAUUUAGCUGGUCAAUUCACCAAAUUGCUUUUAUUGGUAUGAGAAUCCAUGCCUUUCUUUUAACAGUAUGAAAUAAUUAUGAGAAAUCAUUCGUACUCCUGUUUGGUCUAAAUUUGUAACGUACUAUACAAACAAUUGUCACCACUCCUUUUUCACCAAAUCAGAAUUUGAUUCUUCUUCUGCUAUCCGAAUAAGUUUUUU
This 400-nucleotide long non-coding RNA is filed under the name Prunus persica (peach). RNAcentral's name for it is "long non-coding RNA (PPER_LNC000237)". The record is from RNAcentral. Lineage: Eukaryota; Viridiplantae; Streptophyta; Magnoliopsida; Rosales; Rosaceae.